AGUGAACGCUGGCGGUAGGCCUAACACAUGCAAGUCGAACGGCAGCACAGUAAGAGCUUGCUCUUACGGGUGGCGAGUGGCGGACGGGUGAGGAAUACAUCGGAAUCUACUUUUUCGUGGGGGGUAACGUAGGGAAACUUACGCUAAUACCGCAUACGACCUACGGGUGAAAGCAUGGGAUCUUCGGACCUUGCGCGAUUGAAUGAGCCGAUGUCGGAUUAGCUAGUUGGCGGGGUAAAGGCCCACCAAGGCGACGAUCCGUAGCUGGUCUGAGAGGAUGAUCAGCCACACUGGAACUGAGACACGGUCCAGACUCCUACGGGAGGCAGCAGUGGGGAAUAUUGGACAAUGGGCGCAAGCCUGAUCCAGCCAUACCGCGUGGGUGAAGAAGGCCUUCGGGUUGUAAAGCCCUUUUGUUGGGAAAGAAAAGCAGCAGGUUAAUACCCCGCUGUUCUGACGGUGCCCAAAGAAUAAGCACCGGCUAACUUCGUG
This 492-nucleotide ribosomal RNA is filed under the name uncultured bacterium. RNAcentral describes it as "partial 16S ribosomal RNA". It matches the Rfam family "Bacterial small subunit ribosomal RNA", at positions 29 to 507 of the family's 1533-position model. The record is from RNAcentral.